Serratia fonticola is the source of this 145-nucleotide regulatory RNA element. It matches the Rfam family "Leucine operon leader". Rfam says of the family: At least 6 amino acid operons are known to be regulated by attenuation. NCBI's taxonomy places the organism in Bacteria, Pseudomonadati, Pseudomonadota, Gammaproteobacteria, Enterobacterales, Yersiniaceae. The record is from Rfam.
GAGAAGCUGACCGCCAUGAUCCGUACCCACCGUCUACUAGGCCUACUACUAAACGCAUCUUAUGUGCGCGGUACGCUGGUGGACGGGGUUCAAAGCUGAUUCAGCCCAUCAUCUGCAAAACCCGCGCUACUGCGCGGGUUUUUUU